AAUACCCACUUGGUAAACGAAAUAGGCGUAAUAGCCGGAUACGCAUGGAACCGCAUGGUUCCGUUGUGAAAGGCGCUGCAAGGCGCCACUAAAAGAUGAGGGUGCGGAACAUUAGUUAGUUGGUGAGGUAAUGGCCCACCAAGACUAUGAUGUUUAGCCGGGUCGAGAGACUGAACGGCCACAUUGGGACUGAGAUACGGCCCAAACUCCUACGGGAGGCAGCAGCC
RNAcentral lists this ribosomal RNA (227 nucleotides) under uncultured Mycoplasma sp. Its description in RNAcentral is "partial 16S ribosomal RNA". It matches the Rfam family "Bacterial small subunit ribosomal RNA", at positions 142 to 355 of the family's 1533-position model. The record is from RNAcentral. Lineage: Bacteria; Bacillati; Mycoplasmatota; Mollicutes; Mycoplasmatales; Mycoplasmataceae.